CGAAGAACCUUACCAGGUCUUGACAUCCCGAUGCUAUUUCUAGAGAUAGAAAGUUACUUCGGUACAUCGGUGACAGGUGGUGCAUGGUGUCGUCAGCUCGUGUCGUGAGAUGUUGGGUUAAGUCCCGCAACGAGCGCAACCCCUAUUGUUAGUUGCCAUCAUUCAGUUGGGCACUCUAGCGAGACUGCCGGUAAUAAACCGGAGGAAGGUGGGGAUGACGUCAAAUCAUCAUGCCCCUUAUGACCUGGGCUACACACGUGCUACAAUGGUUGGUACAACGAGUUGCGAGUCGGUGACGGCGAGCUAAUCUCUUAAAGCCAAUCUCAGUUCGGAUUGUAGGCUGCAACUCGCCUACAUGAAGUCGGAAUCGCUAGUAAUCGCGGAUCAGCACGCCGCGGUGAAUACGUUCCCGGGCCUU
This 418-nucleotide ribosomal RNA is filed under the name uncultured Streptococcus sp. RNAcentral's name for it is "bacterial SSU rRNA". It matches the Rfam family "Bacterial small subunit ribosomal RNA", at positions 962 to 1382 of the family's 1533-position model. Lineage: Bacteria; Bacillati; Bacillota; Bacilli; Lactobacillales; Streptococcaceae. The record is from RNAcentral.